GAUGAAGAACGCAGCGAAAUGCGAUAAGUAAUGUGAAUUGCAGAAUUCAGUGAAUCAUCGAAUCUUGAACGCACAUUGCGCCCGCCAGUAUUCUGGCGGGCAUGCCUGUCUGAGCGUCAUUUCAACCCUCAUGCCCCUAGGGCGUGGUGUUGGGGAUCGGCCAAAGCCCGCGAGGGACGGCCGGCCCCUAAAUCUAGUGGCGGACCCGUCGUGGCCUCCUCUGCGAAGUAGUGAUAUUCCGCAUCGGAGAGCGAUGAGCCCCUGCCGUUAAACCCCCAACUUUCCAAGGUUGACCUCAGAUCAGGUAGGAAUACCCGCUGAACUUAAGCAUAUCAAUAAGCGGAGGA
RNAcentral lists this unclassified non-coding RNA (347 nucleotides) under soil metagenome. RNAcentral describes it as "partial contains 5.8S ribosomal RNA, internal transcribed spacer 2, and large subunit ribosomal RNA". The stretch from base 1 to 119 matches the Rfam family "5.8S ribosomal RNA", at positions 35 to 154 of the family's 154-position model. The record is from RNAcentral.